UACGUAGGGGGCUAGCGUUGCUCGGAAUCACUGGGCGUAAAGGGUGCGUAGGCGGGUUUUUAAGUCAGGGGUGAAAUCCUGGAGCUCAACUCCAGAACUGCCUUUGAUACUGAAGAUCUUGAAUCCGGGAGAGGUGAGUGGAACUGCGAGUGUAGAGGUGAAAUUCGUAGAUAUUCGCAAGAACACCAGUGGCGAAGGCGGCUCACUGGCACGGUACUGACGCUGAGGCACGAAAGCGUGGGGAGCAAACAGG
This 253-nucleotide ribosomal RNA is filed under the name uncultured bacterium. RNAcentral's name for it is "partial 16S ribosomal RNA". It matches the Rfam family "Bacterial small subunit ribosomal RNA", at positions 524 to 776 of the family's 1533-position model. The record is from RNAcentral.